Molecule: small nuclear RNA, 58 nt
Filed under: Sorex araneus (European shrew)
Lineage: Eukaryota; Metazoa; Chordata; Mammalia; Eulipotyphla; Soricidae
Description: U7 small nuclear RNA (ENSSARG00000019868.1)
Rfam family: U7 small nuclear RNA
About the family: Animal histone pre-mRNAs are spliced by a different mechanism than nuclear pre-mRNAs and self-splicing introns.
Source: RNAcentral
CAGUGUUACAGCCCUUUUAGAAUUUGUCCCGCAGGUUUUCAGGUUGCUACUGGCCUCC